RNAcentral lists this unclassified non-coding RNA (263 nucleotides) under plant metagenome. Its description in RNAcentral is "partial contains small subunit ribosomal RNA, internal transcribed spacer 1, and 5.8S ribosomal RNA". The record is from RNAcentral.
UUUCCGUAGGUGAACCUGCGGAAGGAUCAUUAUUGUAUAACCGAGGUGCGAGGGCUGUGGCUGACCCGAAAGGUCGUGCACGCCAGAGUGCCCUCACACACAUCCAUCUCACCCCUAUGUGCACCACCGCGUGGGUCCCCCUUUGGCUUGUUCGGAGGGGGGCUUACGUUUUCACACAAACUUUGUAUGCAGUGUAGAAUGUAUUUUUUGUUUUUGCGAUCACGCAAUCAAUACAACUUUCAACAACGGAUCUCUUGGCUCUC